AUUGAACGCUGGCGGCAUGCCUUACACAUGCAAGUCGAACGGUAACAGGUCUUCGGAUGCUGACGGGUGGCGAACGGGUGAGUAAUACAUCGGAACGUGCCUAGUAGUGGGGGAUAACUACUCGAAAGAGAGGCUAAUACCGCAUGAGAUCUACGGAUGAAAGCAGGGGAUCGCAAGACCUUGUGCUACUAGAGCGGCCGAUGGCAGAUUAGGUAGUUGGUGGGAUAAAAGCUUACCAAGCCGACGAUCUGUAGCUGGUCUGAGAGGACGAUCAGCCACACUGGGACUGAGACACGGCCCAGACUCCUACGGGAGGCAGCAGUGGGGAAUUUUGGACAAUGGGCGCAAGCCUGAUCCAGCAAUGCCGCGUGCAGGAUGAAGGCCUUCGGGUUGUAAACUGCUUUUGUACGGAACGAAAAGCCCCGGGUUAAUACCCUGGGGUCAUGACGGUACCGUAAGAAUAAGCACCGGCUAACUACGUGCCAGCAGCCGCCGUAA
Molecule: ribosomal RNA, 498 nt
Filed under: uncultured bacterium
Lineage: Bacteria
Description: partial 16S ribosomal RNA
Rfam family: Bacterial small subunit ribosomal RNA
Source: RNAcentral